RNAcentral lists this transfer RNA (72 nucleotides) under Ixodes scapularis (black-legged tick). It matches the Rfam family "tRNA". From Rfam's summary of the family: Transfer RNA (tRNA) molecules are approximately 80 nucleotides in length. Their secondary structure includes four short double-helical elements and three loops (D, anti-codon, and T loops). Lineage: Eukaryota; Metazoa; Arthropoda; Arachnida; Ixodida; Ixodidae. The record is from Rfam by way of RNAcentral.
CCCUGGUUAGCUUUGUUGGUAGAGUGCUCCACUGGAAAUGAACAGGUCCCGGGUUGAUACCUGGACCAGGAA